Papaver somniferum (opium poppy) is the source of this 93-nucleotide small nucleolar RNA. RefSeq annotates it as small nucleolar RNA SNORD24. The record is from RefSeq and is a predicted model, not a curated record. The transcript has a single exon. Lineage: Eukaryota; Viridiplantae; Streptophyta; Magnoliopsida; Ranunculales; Papaveraceae.
AGCUGGUGAUGUAAGGAUAAUAUUUGCUACUCUUGAUGGGGGUGGCAACCCCAUUUGAUUAUUGAUUGAUUAUCCACCAAGGUCUAUUAGGCU